GACGAACGCUGGCGGCGUGCCUAAUACAUGCAAGUCGAGCGGACAGAUGGGAGCUUGCUCCCUGAUGUUAGCGGCGGACGGGUGAGUAACACGUGGGUAACCUGCCUGUAAGACUGGGAUAACUCCGGGAAACCGGGGCUAAUACCGGAUGGUUGUUUGAACCGCAUGGUUCAAACAUAAAAGGUGGCUUCGGCUACCACUUACAGAUGGACCCGCGGCGCAUUAGCUAGUUGGUGAGGUAAYGGCUCACCAAGGCRACGAUGCGUAGCCGACCUGAGAGGGUGAUCGGCCACACUGGGACUGAGACACGGCCCAGACUCCUACGGGAGGCAGCAGUAGGGAAUCUUCCGCAAUGGACGAAAGUCUGACGGAGCAACGCCGCGUGAGUGAUGAAGGUUUUCGGAUCGUAAAGCUCUGUUGUUAGGGAAGAACAAGUACCGUUCGAAUAGGGCGKACCU
Molecule: ribosomal RNA, 458 nt
Filed under: Bacillus sp. R-31091
Lineage: Bacteria; Bacillati; Bacillota; Bacilli; Caryophanales; Bacillaceae
Description: bacterial SSU rRNA
Rfam family: Bacterial small subunit ribosomal RNA
Source: RNAcentral